UACGUAGGGGGCAAGCGUCGUCCGGAAUCAUUGGGCGUAAAGAGCGUGUAGGCGGCUCGGUAAGUCCUCUGUGAAAGUCCAGGGCUCAACCCUGGAAUGCCGGUGGAAACUGUCGAGCUAGAGUCCGGAAGAGGCGAGUGGAAUUCCUGGUGUAGCGGUGAAAUGCGCAGAUAUCAGGAGGAACACCAAUGGCGAAGGCAGCUCGCUGGGACGGUACUGACGCUGAGACGCGAAAGCGUGGGGAGCAAACAGG
RNAcentral lists this ribosomal RNA (253 nucleotides) under uncultured bacterium. RNAcentral describes it as "partial 16S ribosomal RNA". It matches the Rfam family "Bacterial small subunit ribosomal RNA", at positions 524 to 776 of the family's 1533-position model. The record is from RNAcentral.